This 405-nucleotide ribosomal RNA is filed under the name uncultured bacterium. RNAcentral describes it as "partial 16S ribosomal RNA". It matches the Rfam family "Bacterial small subunit ribosomal RNA", at positions 28 to 526 of the family's 1533-position model. The record is from RNAcentral.
GACGAACGCUGGCGGCGUGCUUAACACAUGCAAGUCGAGCGGAGCGGCGAACGGGCGCGUAACGCGUGAGUAACUGCCCCCCUCCCUGGGAUAACAGUUGGCAACGGCUGCUAAUACCGGAUAGUGGGGGAUGACUGGCGCCCUAUCAGAUUGUUGGUGGGGUAGUGGCCGACCAAGGCGACGACGGGUAGCCGGCCUGAGGGGGCGGCCGGCCACAUUGGGCUGAGAUACGGCCCAAACUCCUACGGGAGGCAGCAGUGGGGAAUAUGGCGCAGUGGUGGAAAGCCUGAUGCAGCAACGCCGCGUGCGGAAUGACGGCCUUCGGGUUGUAAACCGCUUUCAGCCAUGACGCGGUAGUUGCAGAAGAAGCACCGGCUAACUACGUGCCAGCAGCCGCGGUAAUAC